Molecule: unclassified non-coding RNA, 75 nt
Filed under: Acidithiobacillus ferrivorans
Lineage: Bacteria; Pseudomonadati; Pseudomonadota; Acidithiobacillia; Acidithiobacillales; Acidithiobacillaceae
Source: RNAcentral
AGGAGCCGUAUGCGGUAAUUCCGCUCGUACGGCUCUGUGCGGGGGGCGGUGGGUAACUACUGUCUCUACCGCGAC